AAUUGUUACUCGAUAAGUGGUUUAAAUUGUUCUCAUUGCAAUCUCGUAACCUCAAAUGAGGUCCGAGUUGUUAUUUCUUGUCACUACCUCCCUGAAUUAGGAUUGGGUAAUUUACGCGCCUGCUGCCUUCCUUAGAUGUGGUAGCCAUUUCUCAGGCUCCCUCUCCGGAAUCGAACCCUAAUUCCCCGUUACCCGUGAUCGCCAUGGUAGUCCAAUACACUACCAUCGAAAGCUGAUAGGGCAGAAACUUGAACGAUGUGUCGCAGUGAGACUGCGAUCCGCUCAGUUAUUAUGAAUCAUCACAACGCUCCAUUGCUGGAGUAUUGGUUUUAUAUCUAAUAAAUACAACCCUUCCGAAAAGUCAGGUUUGACAGCAUGUAUUAGCUCUAGAAUUACUACGGUUAUCCAUGUAGGGUGAAAUCAUCGAAUAAACUAUAACUGUUUUAAUGAGCCAUUCGCAGUUUCGCUGUAUAAUACUUAUACUUAGACAUGCAUGGCUUAGUCUUUAAGACAAGCAUAUGACUA
This 525-nucleotide ribosomal RNA is filed under the name uncultured eukaryote. Its description in RNAcentral is "partial 18S ribosomal RNA". The record is from RNAcentral.